This 496-nucleotide ribosomal RNA is filed under the name uncultured bacterium. RNAcentral describes it as "partial 16S ribosomal RNA". It matches the Rfam family "Bacterial small subunit ribosomal RNA", at positions 28 to 507 of the family's 1533-position model. The record is from RNAcentral.
GAUGAACGCUGGCGGCGUGCCUAAUACAUGCAAGUCGAGCGAACGGACGAGAAGCUUGCUUCUCUGAUGUAGCGGCGGACGGGGGAGUAACACGUGGAUAACCUACCUAUAAGACUGGGAUAACUUCGGGAAACCGGAGCUAAUACCGGGUAAUAUUUUGGACCGCAUGGGUCAAAAGUGAAAGACGGUCUUGCUGUCACUUAUAGAUGGAUCCGCGCUGCAUUAGCUAGUUGGUAAGGUAACGGCUUACCAAGGCAACGAUGCAUAGCCGACCUGAGAGGGUGAUCGGCCACACUGGAACUGAGACACGGUCCAGACUCCUACGGGAGGCAGCAGUAGGGAAUCUUCCGCAAUGGGCGAAAGCCUGACGGAGCAACGCCGCGUGAGUGAUGAAGGUCUUCGGAUCGUAAAACUCUGCUAUUAGGGAAGAACAUAUGUGUAAGUAACUGUGCACAUCUUGACGGUACCUAAUCAGAAAGCCACGGCUAACUACGUG